This 475-nucleotide ribosomal RNA is filed under the name uncultured bacterium. RNAcentral describes it as "bacterial SSU rRNA". It matches the Rfam family "Bacterial small subunit ribosomal RNA", at positions 53 to 518 of the family's 1533-position model. The record is from RNAcentral.
ACAUGCAAGUCGAGGGGCAUCGAGAGGAAAGCUUGCUUCCUGUCGGCGACCGGCGCACGGGUGAGUAACGCGUAUCCAACCUUCCCCUAGUAGGGCAUAGCCCGGCGAAAGUCGGAUUAAUACCCUAUGUUUUCCGAUGAGGACAUCUGAGCUGGAACAAAGAUUUAUCGCUAAGGGAUGGGAAUGCGUCUGAUUAGGUUGUUGGCGGGGUAACGGCCCACCAAGCCUACGAUCAGUAGGGGUUCUGAGAGGAAGGUCCCCCACAUUGGUACUGAGACACGGACCAAACUCCUACGGGAGGCAGCAGUGAGGAAUAUUGGUCAAUGGGCGCGAGCCUGAACCAGCCAAGUAGCGUGCAGGGAAAAGCUGCCCUAUGGGUUGUAAACUGCUUUUAUGCGGGGAUAAAGUGCAGCACGUGUGCUGUUUUGUAGGUACCGCAUGAAUAAGGACCGGCUAAUUCCGUGCCAGCAGCCGC